GAGAGAGAGAGAGAAGAUAGAGAGGAUUCAAGGCGAAGAAGAUGGAGCUGGAGUCGGUGGGCGAUCUGGCGCUGAACCUCAUCCUGACAAAGCUGGGGCCCGAGAACGUCGGCCGGGUCGCCUGCGUGAACCGGAAGCUCCGCCUCUCCGCCGACGAGGAGGCCCUCUGGUCCCGGUUCUGCUCGGAGGAGCUCCACCUCUCCGCUCCUCUCGAUCCCCGCGGCGAUCCUCUCCCUUCUUUCAAGGUCUCUCUCUCUCUCUCUAAUCCAAUUUGUCGAGUUCGAAUCGUCCGCGCUCUCGUGUGUUUUUUUCGCGCCCUUGGCGUGUGCCGUGCGUGAUUCCGUGCCGCGUGAUGUUGCUGCGAUCGAGAAAUUCGUGAUUGCGCGAUCGCCAAAACCGCCUGGGAGCUUGAUCUUCGUGGUUACGAUGUGAUUCGAGUUCGAAGGUGGUGACACUGAAUGGGAGGGCAAAUGAAGGGCUUAGUGAUUCGAAUUCGAUAUUUCCGAUACCAGGUGUUAGUAUUUGUGUGCGGGGGUAGUUUCCAAUUCACUGAAAAAUUUGAAGGUGCGGAGGGGUAGGUUAGCAGUUUCUCUUUUGCAGGCUGCGCGUGCGAUCAGGAUGCGUUUAGUUAUUUUUGUGCUUGGGGCCGCCGAGGUUGUCUGAUUUGGGAUUUUUAAUGAUUGAGACUUGACUAUUCUCGUUUUUUGUAUGCAAUGCCCAUGCCUAGGC
Molecule: long non-coding RNA, 729 nt
Filed under: Eucalyptus grandis
Lineage: Eukaryota; Viridiplantae; Streptophyta; Magnoliopsida; Myrtales; Myrtaceae
Description: long non-coding RNA (EGRA_LNC004535)
Source: RNAcentral